GCAGACGACGAAGGUCGUUAGACAGUGCCCGACAACGGGCGAGCUGCGAAAGGGAAGCCGGCGAAAAUUCCGGCACCGCGUCAAGCCGUGUUCGACGUCUCGAGGAACGUUCGCUGCCGCAAGGUUGGCGUGCGUGCCCGGCGUCGAACGUACCGACGGCAACGUGACUGGUUCGAAGACGCUCAGCACGGCAUCGGCAUCGGUUCUCUUCCGAUGUUAAGGUGACGACGCGACGGAGUCGGUUCGCCCGGAGAUGUCGCGCACGUCGGCGAAAAGGGUGGCAAGAACUGCGACCUUCGGUAGCCGUGCUGGGCCCGUGAAAAUUCGAACGAGCGGAUUACGAGCUUGACGCGAGCGUACCCAGAACCGCAUCAGGUCUCCGAGGUGAGAAGCCUCUGGCCGAACGGCAAAAGGCGGGCUAGGGAAUUCGGCAAAAUAGAUCCGUACCUUCGGUACAAGGAUUGGCUCCGCGGGUCGCGUCUGCCGGCUCGCAUCGGCGAAUGACGACGCAGCGACCGUUGUCUCUUCCAGGGGGCGGCUGUUGCAGCGAAGUUAGGCGAAGGUGCGAGUUGAGCGCUGCGGGUUUCGGCCUGCAUCGCUCGCCACGCUAGGCUAAAAACGAUCGACGCGGAGCUGGCACCGACACGGCUGACCGGACAGUUUAAUUAAAACGCAGCGCGUGGCUAUCCGCAAGCGGCGUGAAUCACGCGUGAGUCCUGCCCGGUGCUAUGAAUGUCAAGGUGGGGAGAUUCACCUAAGCACUAGUUAACGGCAGGAGUAACUAUGACUCUUUUAAGGUAGCAAAAUACCUUGUCGCAUAAUUGGCGACGCGCAUGAAUGGAUCAACCAGGUCAGCACUGUCCCAGUCCGGUCGCCGGCGAACCAACAGACGGGGGAACGGGCCCGUCAGACACAGCGGGGAAAGAAGACCCUGUUGAGCUUCACUUCAUCUGUCGCCUGCAGGUGGGUGCAGCGUCUGUAGUAGUAGAUGGGAGGCGAGCGAUCCGUCGUUCGCCGAUUGUGAAAGACCAUUGACGCAGUUACUCGCUCGCUAACCUGGUGAGAGGGGAAGCGCGCGUUCGGUCUUCGGGCCGACGCGCCAGAUCCAUGCAACAAAGCGACAACGCGGCGCACCUCGUGUGCAGCCGAGCCCGGAUGUCGCGACCCGUGCCAGGGACAAGCCGCGGUGGGAAGUUUGGCUGGGGCGGUACGACCCGAAAAGUGUGGCCGGGUCGACCAUGAGUCGAUCUCAGUGUGGACGGAAACCUCACGUAGCGUUUAAGGACAAAUGAUCGUCUGAUCCGGCGCCACAGCACAGCGCCGGGGCUCGACAGAGCGGCCUAGCGAUCUCGAAACGGCGCCCGGUCUCGGUCGUUCGAGUGACGGAAAAGUUACCACAGGGAUAACUGGCUUGUGGCAGCCUAGUGGCCUAAAUGACGCUGCUUUUUGAUCCUUCGAUGUCGGCUCUUCCUAUCCAGGCAGUGCAAAAGUUGCCAAAGGUAAGACUGUUCGUCUGCUAACAGGGAACGUGAGCUGGGUUUAGACCGUCGUGAGACAGGUUAGUUUUAUCCUACUGUGAGUGGUCGUCCCGAUGGUAGGAUCGUUUAGUACGACAGGAACGACGAUUCAUUGCCUAUCGCAAUGGAGUCGGUCGAGAGACCGAUGCUCCGAAGCGACGCAAUUCGGAUAAGGACUGAUGGCCUCUAAAGUUCGAAGCCGUGCCAAGUGAGCGGACGACAGUGGCGCGGGUAGACUGCUGCGACGGAGUUUUCGUUUUGCCAGCCUCGCCGCCGUGCGAAAAAGGCCUCCUUCUGGAGCAGCCUAGGGCAACAGGUGCCGCGUGUACCGACGAUGCUCCGUCGAAAGAUCACCAGUAUACGACUGGGGAGUCUCGGUACUGUAAGGCGUCGAGCUCUAGGGCGAGCGUCUGAGGUUUAGCCGGAGACUAUAGAUCUCGUGAAUACUCAACGUUAUUUUGGCGUGUACAAGUGUGUGCGUGCGCGUUGAAGUGUGCGAGCGCUCGAGCUUUUCGAAGUUCAUAGUCGCCGCCGCCCAAACACCCCACCCACCACUCUACACCCCUAACCAACGACUAUAGAUAGAGAUAACGUGUAGCAUCGAGGACAAGUUUCUCGGCGCCGCGUUAUCUCGCCCCCGUUUGACUUAAAAAUUACCCAUUCGGCCCGGGAAUUUACCCAUUCGGGCGAAAUUUUUUUAAUACCAUCUUUUUUUUGCUAUUUUUCUCAAUUUUUGCCAACUUUCGCCUUACUGAUGAUCGUACGGCUAAGGCUUGUGGUUAUAAUAUUCCGCCCUAACUUCAGGGGGUGGUAGUCUAUGAGAUAGUUGUUGGCCUAGGCUUGAUUGGCUUUAUUGCCCUGAGCUAAUUUCAGCCGGUGUUUUCCCUAACUUCAGGGGGUGGUAGCCUAUGAGAUAGUUGUUGGCCUAGGCUUGAUUGGCUUUAUUGCCCUGAGCUAAUUUCAGCCGGUGUUUCUCCUAACUUCAGGGGGUGGUGGUAGCCUUUGAGAUAGUUGUUGGCCUAGGCGUAUGGUUUGCUUGCCGUCGCCUAUGUUUGAGGGCGGCUCGGCGCUAGGUAUCGGUAGCUUGCCCUAACUUCGGGCGCGUCGAGCCUCACCUCGGCGUAUGGUUCGCUUACGGUCGCCUAUGUUUGAGGGCGGCUCGCCUCUCAUAUGGUCGUGGGGCUCGGCGGUCGGCUUACCUUUCGGAUUGUCGGUAGCGACAGACUAUGCACAUACUCUUCGACGCACCCCCGACUAGAUCGUUGGCGAUGCUUGAUCGGUGCGAUCGCGAACAAAAGAUUUGGCUCGCUGUCUUACUUUGACGCGCUCGCUCUAUUGUUAUGGUUUACUUUGACGAGGCUCGCUGUCACGCGGCGACGUGAAGUAGUUCGUCAGCAGAUAUUUUCUCGUUUUGACACCCAAUUAGGAAAAUUUCGGGUUUGAAACCAUGUUGACGAUCAUUUUCGAGCAAUUCUGCACCCGGACACACCCGAUUUUGUCGAAACUCGCAACUUCUCUAAUUUUCGUCUACAAAUUUUUCGAAUUCUAUCGUCCACAGUAAAACACUAUGGCGAUCUAGUCACCACUUUCUCGAUCGUUCGACUGCUAAUCGUUACUUGAAGAAAGAAAAAAAAAUCGACCGACCGAUAUACAUCCGGCAAGGAUUCUUCGUGCUAAAUUGGUUCGCACACAAACCACAAUGGUCAAUCGUCAUAGGAUUUUUCUUCAAUCUGGUGUUAUUUCGGGCCCUAAUUUUCGAGAAAAAAUUUUUUUUUCGCACACCUCCGGAUCGACUCGCAAUCGCAGCGCAAAGCCACAUUCGGAAAUUUCACGCUAAAAAAUGUAGACAAAUGACAAAAAAGAAAAUUCGCUCGACAAUUUCCAUACAAAACACUCGAAACGUUACUAAUUUCGCGUUUAAACGUUAUUCCGAUAAUAUAAAAAAAUUGCAUUUUAUGCACCCAACGCUGCUAGGUUUUCGUCCUCCCACGGUGUUACUAUCAUCUUGCCAAAUUUCUCUCCAACUCCACCGCAUUCGUGAUAACUCAUCGGAUCCGAGCUACUUGAAGGCUCGACGACACGAUUGGCGACGAGCGCGAUUGAUCGACUUCGCCGAAAAUUACCCGUUCGGUCGACCUAUUCGUGGUCGAGCGUACACUUUUUUCGUUUACCCAUUCGUUGGUUCAGUAUAAACCUCAUGAGGAGAGGUAAAUCACCGAAGACGCGACACGACCGAGAGUCGCCGCAGCCGCGGGACUUAGCACGACUACAAGCACGACCGCCAGAAACAUCAGCAUCAAUCUUCUACCACUACUUCUAGCUACUCGAACAACCGAAGCGUAGGUCAGACGCCCAGAGAUUCCAGAUGUAAUGUGGAUCCGGACGCCCUAGGUCGCAGCCGAAGUUGCGGGCAGUGGCCAGAUCAAUGGUAGGCGAUUGGUGCGGAUGCGAAGGCGGCCAGCCAGGUACAACUGCUAGGCUCCGAGACUGCGAGACCCGACGAAGCCAAAGACGCGACUCCAAUCUUCUCCACACUUUCUCCCGUGUGCACCUCGUGCGACUCCAGUGGUCGAACGGGGCAAUCACGCGCGGUCGGCUUCUGUUCACCGCGGAAUCCGGCUGCACAGUUUUCUAUAGUCACGUUCGAGUAAGUGCAUGCACGACCCGAACAGCGACGAAUCCAAUGCUCCUCUAAGGGGCUAUCGAAGUCGUGGGUUGGGCCCAGAGCGAUUCUUCGAACUCCUCCCGUAUUUCACCGGCUGCCGCGAACACGUUCGAUCGUGUGCGCCUCUAUUUCUAGUCGGUGGAUUCGGGCAGGCUGCUCACAAGAUCUCUGGCGCACCCACCGACUUUCACAAGCGGCACGCGAUCAACAGAGUAUGUUGUGCCAUAGCUGGCUGGCUGGCUGCUCGUGUAGCGCUUACGGCAUUACGCGGCAGCAACAGCCAUGCAUGGUUCACGAAUCGAACAGAGUCCUAUGUGGAAAGGCUACGGUCGUAGUGGCGACCGAACGCGGAAAAGCGUGUGAUCAAGGCUCCAAGGUACGAAUCGCGACCAGCUGUAGGCCAACCGAUGCUCGUGCGCUCAACGCUGCACGGGUAUCCGGGCGACCAAGCUGGCGCGUUUCGUCGCAACGAGGACGCACGUCGGUGAUAGACCGCGCGACUCCCGUCGUCGGCCUUUUAUCGGCGUCUCCGAACUAGACUCUCGCGCAGCACGGACCUCACGCAGUGUCCGCGGCGGCGAGUGCAAGGGUAGUAGGCUAGUGGCACGUUGUCCGGGCGUCUAUCCUCGCGGGAAGAUUCUCGGCGUCGCAGCGCUAGCGUGCACAUCCCGCGGCGUGAACAGCGGCUUCCGGUCUCGCUGCCGGAAGUGUCAGCAACUCAUUGCCUAGA
Molecule: unclassified non-coding RNA, 4912 nt
Filed under: Marteilia octospora
Lineage: Eukaryota; Endomyxa; Ascetosporea; Paramyxida; Marteiliidae
Description: partial contains large subunit ribosomal RNA, large-small subunit ribosomal RNA intergenic spacer, and small subunit ribosomal RNA
Rfam family: Eukaryotic large subunit ribosomal RNA (bases 1-1957)
Source: RNAcentral